This 255-nucleotide ribosomal RNA is filed under the name uncultured bacterium. Its description in RNAcentral is "partial 16S ribosomal RNA". It matches the Rfam family "Bacterial small subunit ribosomal RNA", at positions 524 to 776 of the family's 1533-position model. The record is from RNAcentral.
UACGUAGGUGACCAGCGUUGUCCGGAUUUACUGGGCGUAAAGAGCGCGUAGGCGGUCUGUUAAGUGCACGAGUGAAAUCCCGGGGCUCACCUCCGGAACUGCUCUGCAUACUGGCAGACUUGAGGGUCGGAGAGGUUUGUGGAAUUCCUGGUGUAGCGGUGAAAUGCGUUGAUAUCAGGAGGAACACCGGUGGCGAAGGCGGAUCUCUGGGCCGAUACUGACGCUGAGGAGCGGAAAGCGUGGGGAGCGAACAGG